GUGUCAGCCGCCGCGGUAAUACGUAGGUGGCGAGCGUUGUCCGGAAUUAUUGGGCGUAAAGCGCGCGCAGGCGGGAUAUUAAGUCUAUUCUAAAAGUUCGGGGCUCAACCCCGUGAUGGGAUGGAAACUAAUAUUCUUGAGUGCCGGAGAGGAAAGCGGAAUUCCCAGUGUAGCGGUGAAAUGCGUAGAUAUUGGGAGGAACACCAGUGGCGAAGGCGGCUUUCUGGACGG
Molecule: ribosomal RNA, 231 nt
Filed under: uncultured bacterium
Lineage: Bacteria
Description: partial 16S rRNA
Rfam family: Bacterial small subunit ribosomal RNA
Source: RNAcentral